RNAcentral lists this ribosomal RNA (490 nucleotides) under uncultured bacterium. Its description in RNAcentral is "bacterial SSU rRNA". It matches the Rfam family "Bacterial small subunit ribosomal RNA", at positions 8 to 524 of the family's 1533-position model. The record is from RNAcentral.
AGAGUUUGAUCCUGGCUCAGAACGAACGCUGGCGGCAGGCUUAACACAUGCAAGUCGAACGAGAAGCCACCUUCGGGUGGUGGACAGUGGCAGAUUCCGGGUGAGUAACGCGUGGGAACGUGCCUUUCGGUUCGGGAUAACCCAGGGAAACUUGGGCUAAUACCGGAUACGCCCUUCGGGGGAAGGAUUCAUUGCCGAAAGAUCGGCCCGCGUCGGAUUAGCUAGUAUCUGGUGAGGUAAAAGCUUACCAAGGCGACGAUCCGUAGCUGGUCUGAGAGGAUGACCAGCCACACUGGGACUGAGACACGGCCCAGACUCCUACGGGAGGCAGCAGUGGGGAAUAUUGGACAAUGGGCGCGAAAAGCCUGAUCCAGCCAUGCCGCGUGGGUGAAGAAGGCCUUCGGGUUGUAAAGCCCUUUUAUCGGGGAAGAGGAAGGACGGUACCCGAGGAAUAAGCCUCGGCUAACUACGUGCCAGCAGCCGCGGUAAU